GCCGGGGCCUGCUGAGGGCUGGGCAGCGGGGGUCUGACAGGGCCUCCGCCGGCCCGGUGCGCCCCUUGCCCGCUGGCCCGCCCGCGUGUGGCUUGGUGUGGGGCUCAUGGCCGGCCCCGGGCCUGGCGGGGAGCACUGGCAGCGGCUGGGGGUGAGGUGGGCCCUGCUUGGGAUCACCCCCUCUCCCCAUCAGGGCACCCCGCUGCCCCGCGUCCCUGGGCCACCGCACUGGUAUGGCAUGGACGAGCAGAGGAGCAGAAGUUGUGGAAAAUUCAUCUGUACAAAUCCUUUGCUGUGGAAAGGGUGGUAUGGAAGGGAGAAGCAGGAGUUUUCCUGUUGGUAACUGGACACAGGAACAAUGUAUCACUGGUUUGUGAAGACAGCAUAUUGCCAUCAGGUACUUGAUUGCAUAUUCACAAUUUAAGUGAACUUUAUCUUUUCAGACUCCAACUAUAAUAUGGACUAGAGUACCUUAUAAUGUUUUGAAAAGACAUGUGAAAAUGCACCAUUUAUAUUGUGUGAAAAUAGCUGUGAGUAAAAAAAAAAAAUCCAUUGAGAAUUCAGGUACUUAUAUUUAAGAGGGAAUAAAUUUUA
This 594-nucleotide long non-coding RNA is filed under the name Calidris pugnax (ruff). RNAcentral describes it as "lncRNA (ENSCPUG00000016881.1)". The record is from RNAcentral. Lineage: Eukaryota; Metazoa; Chordata; Aves; Charadriiformes; Scolopacidae.